AUAGGGUACGAGCGAACGUGGCGAACUGAAACAUCUAAGUAGCUACAGGAAAAGAAAUCAACCGAGAUUCCCAAAGUAGUGGCGAGCGAAAUGGGAUCAGCCUGCAAGAUUUAGCAUCAACGAUAGUAGAACGGAAUGGAAAGUCCGGCCAUAGUGGGUGAUAGCCCCGUAUGCGAAAUCGAUGGUGUGGAACUAGGCUUGCGACAAGUAGGGCGGGACACGUGAAAUCCUGUCUGAAGAUGGGGGGACCAUCCUCCAAGGCUAAAUACUCGUAAUCGACCGAUAGUGAACCAGUACCGUGAGGGAAAGGCGAAAAGAACCCCGGAAGGGGAGUGAAAUAGAUCCUGAAACCGUGUGCAUACAAACAGUAGGAGCCCUGUAAGGGGUGACUGCGUACCUUUUGUAUAAUGGGUCAGCGACUUACAUUCAGUGGCAAGCUUAACCGAAUAGGGAAGGCGUAGAGAAAUCGAGUCCGAAUAGGGCGUUCAGUCGCUGGGUGUAGACCCGAAACCAGAUGAUCUAUCCAUGGCCAGGUUGAAGGUGCGGUAACACGCACUGGAGGACCGAACCCACUAAUGUUGAAAAAUUAGGGGAUGAGCUGUGGAUAGGGGUGAAAGGCUAAACAAAUCUGGAAAUAGCUGGUUCUCUCCGAAAACUAUUUAGGUAGUGCCUCAAGUAUCACCAUCGGGGGUAGAGCACUGUUAUGGCUAGGGGGUCAUCGCGACUUACCAAACCAUUGCAAACUCCGAAUACCGAUGAGUGCGAGCUUGGGAGACAGACGCCGGGUGCUAACGUCCGACGUCAAGAGGGAAACAACCCAGACCGCCAGCUAAGGUCCCAAAGAUUGGCUAAGUGGAAAACGAAGUGGGAAGGCUAAAACAGUCAGGAGGUUGGCUUAGAAGCAGCCAUCCUUUAAAGAAAGCGUAAUAGCUCACUGAUCGAGUCGUCCUGCGCGGAAGAUGUAACGGGGCUAAGCCAGUCACCGAAGCUGCGGAUAUCCGUAAGGAUAUGGUAGGAGAGCGUUCUGUAAGCCUGUGAAGGUGUCUUGUAAAGGAUGCUGGAGGUAUCAGAAGUGCGAAUGCUGACAUGAGUAGCGAUAAUGCGGGUGAAAAGCCCGCACGCCGUAAGCCCAAGGUUUCCUGUUCAACGUUCAUCGGAGCAGGGUGAGUCGGCCCCUAAGGCGAGGCAGAGAUGCGUAGCUGAUGGGAAGCAGGUUAAUAUUCCUGCACCGUCGUUAGAUGCGAUGGGGGGACGGAUCGCGGAAGGUUGUCCGACUGUUGGAAUAGUCGGUUUUUGCAUCGAAGAAGGCUGUUAGGCAAAUCCGGCAGCGUAAUUCAAGGGUGUGAGACGAGCGAACUUGUUCGCGAAGCAAUCGGAAGUGGUUCCAAGAAAAGCCUCUAAGCUUCAGUCUAACGAGACCGUACCGCAAACCGACACAGGUGGGCGAGAUGAGUAUUCUAAGGCGCUUGAGAGAACUCGGGAGAAGGAACUCGGCAAAUUGGUACCGUAACUUCGGGAUAAGGUACGCCCAAGUAGUUUGACUGGCCUGCGCCAGAAGGACAAAAGGGUUGCAAUAAAAUGGUGGCUGCGACUGUUUAAUAAAACACAGCACUCUGCAAACACGAAAGUGGACGUAUAGGGUGUGACGCCUGCCCGGUGCUGGAAGAUUAAAUGAUGGGGUGCAAGCUCUUGAUUGAAGUCCCAGUAAACGGCGGCCGUAACUAUAACGGUCCUAAGGUAGCGAAAUUCCUUGUCGGGUAAGUUCCGACCUGCACGAAUGGCGUAACGAUGGCCACACUGUCUCCUCCCGAGACUCAGCGAAGUUGAAAUGUUUGUGAUGAUGCAAUCUACCCGCGGCUAGACGGAAAGACCCCAUGAACCUUUACUGUAGCUUUGCAUUGGACUUUGAACCAAUCUGUGUAGGAUAGGUGGGAGGCUUUGAAGCAGGAACGCUAGUUUCUGUGGAGCCGACCUUGAAAUACCACCCUGGUUCGUUUGAGGUUCUAACCUUGGUCCGUUAUCCGGAUCGGGGACAGUGCAUGGUAGGCAGUUUGACUGGGGCGGUCUCCUCCCAAAGUGUAACGGAGGAGUUCGAAGGUACGCUAGGUACGGUCGGACAUCGUGCUAAUAGUGCAAUGGCAUAAGCGUGCUUAACUGCGAGACUGACAAGUCGAGCAGGUACGAAAGUAGGACAUAGUGAUCCGGUGGUUCUGUAUGGAAGGGCCAUCGCUCAACGGAUAAAAGGUACUCUGGGGAUAACAGGCUGAUUCCUCCCAAGAGUUCAUAUCGACGGGGGAGUUUGGCACCUCGAUGUCGGCUCAUCACAUCCUGGGGCUGUAGCCGGUCCCAAGGGUAUGGCUGUUCGCCAUUUAAAGUGGUACGUGAGCUGGGUUUAAAACGUCGUGAGACAGUUUGGUCCCUAUCUGCCGUGGGCGU
Molecule: ribosomal RNA, 2436 nt
Filed under: Herbaspirillum rubrisubalbicans
Lineage: Bacteria; Pseudomonadati; Pseudomonadota; Betaproteobacteria; Burkholderiales; Oxalobacteraceae
Description: bacterial LSU rRNA
Rfam family: Bacterial large subunit ribosomal RNA
Source: RNAcentral